AAUCUUCCGCAAUGGACGAAGUCUGACGGAGCAACGCCGCGUGAGUGAGGAAGGUUUUCGGAUCGUAAAGCUCUGUUGCCAGGGAAGAAUAAGCAGAAGAGGAACUGCUUCUGUGAUGACGGUACCUGAGAAGAAAGCCACGGCUAACUACGUGCCAGCAGCCGCGGUAAUACGUAGGGGGCAAGCGUUGUCCGGAAUUAUUGGGCGUAAAGCGCGCGCAGGCGGUAAUUUACGUCUGAUGUAUAAGCCCAAGGCUCAACCUUGGGAGGCAUUGGAAACGGGGUUACUGGAGUACAGGAGAGGAAAGUGGAAUUCCACGUGUAGCGGUGAAAUGCGUAGAGAUGUGGAGGAACACCAGUGGCGAAGGCGACUUUCUGGCCUGAAACUGACGCUGAGGCGCGAAAGCGUGGGGAGCAAACA
This 420-nucleotide ribosomal RNA is filed under the name uncultured bacterium. RNAcentral's name for it is "partial 16S ribosomal RNA". It matches the Rfam family "Bacterial small subunit ribosomal RNA", at positions 360 to 774 of the family's 1533-position model. The record is from RNAcentral.